UUUAGAGUUUGAUCCCAUGGCUCAGAACGAACGCGGGCGGCGUGGAUUAGGCAUGCAAGUCGAACGGACGCUUAGCUUUUUCGAGCGUUAGUGGCGAAAGGGUGAGUAACACGUGGGUUACCUACCCUAGGGAUUGGGAUAACUUGUCGAAAGACGGGCUAAUACCGGAUACGCUCCGAUAUCGGAUUGAUGUCGGAUGAAAGGAUGGGGACCUCGCAAGAGGCCUAUCGCCCUUGGAUGGGCCCGCGGCCUAUCAGCUAGUUGGUGAGGUAACGGCUCACCAAGGCUAAGACGGGUAGCUGGUCUGGGAGGAUGGUCAGCCACACUGGGACUGAGACACUGCCCAGACUCCUACGGGAGGCUGCAGUCGAGAAUCUUUCGCAAUGGGGGAAACCCUGACGGAGCGACGCCGCGUGCAGGAUGAAGGCCUUCGGGUUGUAAACUGCUGUCAGCUGGGGAGAAAAGCCGCAGGCGAAUAGUCUGCGGUCUUGACGGGCCAGCAGAGAAGCCACGGCAU
RNAcentral lists this ribosomal RNA (517 nucleotides) under uncultured bacterium. RNAcentral describes it as "bacterial SSU rRNA". It matches the Rfam family "Bacterial small subunit ribosomal RNA", at positions 1 to 499 of the family's 1533-position model. The record is from RNAcentral.